AGGACGAACGCUGGCGGCGUGCUUAACACAUGCAAGUCGAGCGGAAAGGCCCUUCGGGGUACUCGAGCGGCGAACGGGUGAGUAACACGUGAGUAAUCUGCCCCUAGCUCUGGGAUAGCUCCGGGAAACCGGGAUUAAUACUGGAUACGACCACCUUAGACAUCUUUUGUGGUGGAAAGAAUUUCGGCUAGGGAUGAGCUCGCGGCCUAUCAGCUUGUUGGUGGGGUAACGCCUACCAAGGCGACGACGGGUAGCCGGCCUGAGAGGGCGACCGGCCACACUGGGACUGAGACACGGCCCAGACUCCUACGGGAGGCAGCAGUGGGAAUAUUGCGCAAUGGGCGAAAAGCCUGACGCAGCGACGCCGCGUGGGGGAUGAAGGCCUUCGGGUUGUAAACCCCUUUCAGCAGGGACGAAGCGAAAGUGACGGUACCUGCAGAAGAAGACGCCGGCUAAACUACCGACGCCAGCAGCCGC
This 477-nucleotide ribosomal RNA is filed under the name uncultured bacterium. RNAcentral's name for it is "SSU rRNA". It matches the Rfam family "Bacterial small subunit ribosomal RNA", at positions 26 to 518 of the family's 1533-position model. The record is from RNAcentral.